AGCGCCGUCNGAGAGGUGAACGGCCACAUUGGGACUGAGACACGGCCCAAACUCCUACGGGAGGCAGCAG
This 70-nucleotide ribosomal RNA is filed under the name uncultured bacterium. RNAcentral's name for it is "partial 16S ribosomal RNA". The record is from RNAcentral.